AUUGAACGCUGGCGGAAUGCUUUACACACGCAAGUCGAACGGCAGCACGGACUUCGGUCUGGUGGCGAGUGGCGAACGGGUGAGUAACAUAUCGGAACGUAUCCAAUAAUGGGGGAUAACGAGUCGAAAGAUUCGCUAAUACCGCAUACGCCCUACGGGGGAAAGCUGGGGACCUUCGGGCCUGGCGUUAAUGGAGCGGCCGAUAUCUGAUUAGCUAGUUGGUGAGGUAAAGGCUCACCAAGGCGACGAUCAGUAGCUGGUCUGAGUGGACGACCAGCCACACUGGAACUGAGACACGGUCCAGACUCCUACGGGAGGCAGCAGUGGGGAAUUUUGGACAAUGGGCGCAAGCCUGAUCCAGCCAUUCCGCGUGAGUGAAGAAGGCCUUCGGGUUGUAAAGCUCUUUCGCAAGGGAAGAAAACUUAGCCACUAACAUUGGUUGAGGUUGACGGUACCUUGAUAAGAAGCACCGGCUAACUACGUGCCAGCAGCCGCAGUAA
Molecule: ribosomal RNA, 500 nt
Filed under: uncultured bacterium
Lineage: Bacteria
Description: partial 16S ribosomal RNA
Rfam family: Bacterial small subunit ribosomal RNA
Source: RNAcentral